Molecule: long non-coding RNA, 278 nt
Filed under: Gossypium barbadense (sea-island cotton)
Lineage: Eukaryota; Viridiplantae; Streptophyta; Magnoliopsida; Malvales; Malvaceae
Description: long non-coding RNA (GBAR_LNC015767)
Source: RNAcentral
AGAUAUGUUCUCUAGCAACCUUAAUCAACCACAAAUCAACUAAUGCAACCACAACAAAAAUAAAUAAAUAGAGACACCGGUAUUUUUACGUGGAAAACCCCUUUAAAUCAAGGGUAAAAACCACGGGACUUCAGAGUCUGAUCAAGAGUUCCACUAUCAUCAAAUGUUCAACUACAAGAUCACAAUAUCAAGCCUACAACAAGCAUUCAAUUCCGACAAGGCUAACAAUAUGUAAUCUUUAGCAAAAGAGAGAAAAAUGAGAGAACAUCACCAAAAAU